CGUUACGAUACGCUGAAUCGCAAGAGCGGGGGACCCAACAAUCGGGGUGAAUCUCAUGAACAUGAGUAGGGCUACCCAUCUGCCCGAACCCGUCAGCUAACCUCGUAAGCGCAGGAUGAGGAGGA
RNAcentral lists this small RNA (125 nucleotides) under Bacillus sp. (in: firmicutes). RNAcentral's name for it is "Bacillus sp. c-di-AMP sequence". It matches the Rfam family "c-di-AMP riboswitch aptamer (ydaO/yuaA leader)". Rfam says of the family: This family represents a conserved RNA structure found upstream of the ydaO and yuaA genes in Bacillus subtilis and related genes in other bacteria. The ydaO/yuaA element is thought to act as a genetic "off" switch for the ydaO and yuaA genes in its native state. RNAcentral also lists the same sequence under 1 other name. Lineage: Bacteria; Bacillati; Bacillota; Bacilli; Caryophanales; Bacillaceae. The record is from RNAcentral.